ACAAAUUUACAAUGAGUGAACAAAUGUACAAGUUUUUUAACAAAUUUACAAUGAGCGAACAAAUUACACGUUUUAAAACAAAUUUACAUUUAUUACGGAAAGGGUAGGUACAAUACGCUGACGUCACGCAUCCGAGCCUCCGGUGGAAAGAAACCCGGAAGUAUCGCCGUGAAUCACAUGAGAGUUGAAUGCGAUGUUGUGUAUUAGGCUCUACAUACUAUUAACGUAAAGAGAGUGAUAAUAUAUAACCUUUCAUCGCUUCCGAAGUGACUUAAAGGGAUAUUGGACCUUAUUUUCAGAUUACAGACAACACGAGAGGGUGCUUCAGACUUUUUAAUCAGGACUGCAUUGUUCGUUCGCUUCCGGGGUUUCAUAGACUGAAACGGGGAAGCGUGACGAGUUUGUUUACAUGGCCACGGUAGUAAUGCCUCAAAAGAAGUGCACAGCUUCCCCUGACUGUUUCGGAAUAAGAUUCAAGAGUGUCGAAAACAGUGCCAUCUGCUGGUUAAAAGGACAUAUAGAAGUUGCUUCUGGAAGAAGCAACCAGCUAAAUUCAGAUUAAUUUUAAUGUUAUGUGUACAAAUAAAGCAACAUGUUACAACAUGUGUGUGAAUGGGUAAAUUAAAUAAUUAUAUUGAACAUUCAAGUGUGGCAAUACAUUUCAGUAUGAGUUAAUAUUCGAUACUGUAUCGUACAGAACAAUGUUUACACACACAUAAUCACACACACAAAAGAAGUAUAUAUAUGUACAUACAAUACUAUCUAUACAGUACUAUGUGGGACUAGAAUGUGAAUAGGGCAAAUAACACGCAGGUUUCUGACACGCAAAGCAUGCACUUGACUGAGCAGAAAGUGAAGCUUUGUUGUUAUUGGUCACAUGAUUUCUACAUUAACAACACAAGCUUCCAAUCCAGGCUUCAUCCGGCACGCCCAUUUUUUGCUUGCUCGACAAAUGUCACAUCAUUAAAAUGAAC
Misgurnus anguillicaudatus (oriental weatherfish) is the source of this 974-nucleotide non-coding RNA. The record is from RefSeq and is a predicted model, not a curated record. NCBI's taxonomy places the organism in Eukaryota, Metazoa, Chordata, Actinopteri, Cypriniformes, Cobitidae.